This 942-nucleotide long non-coding RNA is filed under the name Mus spicilegus (steppe mouse). RNAcentral's name for it is "lncRNA (ENSMSIG00000005775.1)". The record is from RNAcentral. Lineage: Eukaryota; Metazoa; Chordata; Mammalia; Rodentia; Muridae.
GCGGGGCUUCCGGCGAGCCCUGGGGGCUGGACCCGCUCGCGGCCGAGUUUCGCCCCCGCCUCCGGAAAAGGCUUUCAAGUCUGGGGGCGGGACUCGGUGCUCCGGGCGACCGAUGGGGCAGUAGCAACGCUCGUGGGCUACCUGGCUGGGAGUUUCUCGGGGUCAUAUCAGGUUUGACCCUAACGAGACCUGUUCGGUACUCAGGUCUUAGGUUCCGUCCUAGACCCGCAUGAUGACGAGUCUUGCUGAGGCCGCUGUCUCCACACUGCCUCCCGCGAUGCCCCCAGGAGCGGAGGAAUGGCAAACUAUUCCUCCUAUUACACCUCAGACUCCUGUCAUUCCCCGGGCCAGAAAGGACUUGGAACCUGGGACCAAGCCUCUUAUUCUUCUGAGGUAUGCUUCUGCUGACCACUGACAUAUCUUCAAUAACCCAUAUCUUCAAGUUUCCUCUCUGCAAACGACAACUAACUCGAGAACACAUGCUGUUUGUGUGAGUGUGCCAACCAAGGAAUUUCACUCCCCUCCUUCUCCAAGGCUGCCUACCUCUCUAUAAAUAAUUGUUCUCUUCCCUCCCUUCAGACCUGGGAGUAGUUUGGUCACAUUAACGCACGCGCGCCUGCUCACACACUUUCGGGGGGCGGGGAUGUAGCAUGGGUGACCUUGUGAAGGUACUAGCCCACUGGGGAUAGGAUUAGCAAACCUGAAACCUCUGCAAAUAUCUGGCUUCCUCCGGCAUUCCUCCCGAGGCUUCUGGCUGUCUCGUGCCUACCUCACCCAGUACCCUUUAGGCUCGCUCCGACACACAAAGCCCCAUCCGCCUAUCUCCUCUUCGCAAACCCCGAGAACUUCAUUCCGCACGUUGAAACUCGUCGGUGGCGGUGGCGGGUAGGACUGGGCAUGCUCAGUGGCGGGGACAGGUCUGGGAGGCGAGGAAGCCGCAUU